CACCGCGCCGCGCAGGCGGGGCCCAGCCGGGCCCUGCCCGGGGCCGCUCCCGCCGCAGCAGCCCCAGGCCCGCUGCCGCCGCCGCCGCCGCCCCCCGGCCGGGACUCACCGCCUGCCCCGGGGAGAGCCAUGCUGCGCCGGGGCGGCUCCGCCACCAGCCGGCGGCGAGGAGGGGACGGCGAAGGGAGGAGCGGCUCCCGCCAGCCGCCGCCGCUUCCCUCUGCCGCAUUCGCCCGCCCGCUACCGCAGCGCCGCCACGGGGCCCCGGGGGGCGCCGCCCGCCCCCGACCGCCCUGCCCUGCCCUGCCCUGCCCUGCCCCACCCCGGGCGGCCCCUCAGCACGGAGCCGUUAACGGCCUCGCAGGGCGGGGCGGGGGCGCCGUGUCCGUGUCCGUACCUCUGUGAGGAGCCGCCCGCUCGGCGGCUUCGGGCUGCACCUGCGGCUCCCGGGAGGGGCCGGCUGGGGUCUGCCCGCGGGCUGCUGCCUCAGGGGGAGCCGCUGCCCCGCGUCGCGGCUGGGCGCUUCCCCACGGAGGCUCCGGGACGGCUGCGGCGCCGUCACAUGGCUCGGGGCGGGCCGCCUCAGCUCAGCCCGGCCCGCCUCGCCUCGCCUCGCCUCCGGGCGCCCCGUGAGGGCCGCGGUCCCGAGCGCUUCCCUCAAGCCGCUGCCUCCCAAAGCGCUCGGGCGCGGAAAGCUCCGCUUCGGCAGCAGGACGCCGCGGGGCCGGGGCGAAGAUGCUGCUGGAGGAUAAGUGGCUGCCAGGGCAUCCCUAUCAGGGGUAGCUGCGGCGAUGCUCGUUCCUCCGUGGAGGCACGGUUCAGGUGCCAGUGUAGCAUGAAAAUCAACUUGAAAAUAAAUGUACUGAGUACGGAGCCCAAGGCACAUAACUGAAGGUCAAAGCAAGCAUGACUCAGCAGGAGUGAAGACCGUAGCAUGUUAAAUAAUUUGACCCCAAUGUGAGAGAUUCUAGGCCCUGGAGCUGAACAUUUUAGAAACAUUUAAGAUAAGUUUAGGUUACAACAUAUGGGGUCGAAUCUGAAGGCAUUUAAAGACAAAAGUAUCUUUCCGGUGCAGAGAAGCACUGGGAAUGAAGCAAUUGGAGAAAAGGCCCUUAGAGUAAGAUGACAAACGGGGUAAAGGUAACUCCCAACGCAUGUCAGGCAUCAGGUAGCUCUGUGUUCUGCCAACUUGGUCAAGGAAGAAAUGUUCCAUUGAUAAACUUCAGGGUCUUCAGAGAUUCUUUUGCCUCACACAGCUGGUGUAAAAAAAAAAAAAAGGAAAUAAAAUGA
RNAcentral lists this long non-coding RNA (1290 nucleotides) under Anas platyrhynchos platyrhynchos (common mallard). RNAcentral's name for it is "lncRNA (ENSAPLG00000018861.1)". The record is from RNAcentral. Lineage: Eukaryota; Metazoa; Chordata; Aves; Anseriformes; Anatidae.